GAUGAACGCUGGCGGCGUGCCUAAUACAUGCAAGUCGAGCGAACAGACGAGGAGCUUGCUCCUCUGACGUUAGCGGCGGACGGGUGAGUAACACGUGGAUAACCUACCUAUAAGACUGGGAUAACUUCGGGAAACCGGAGCUAAUACCGGAUAAUAUAUUGAACCGCAUGGUUCAAUAGUGAAAGACGGUUUUGCUGUCACUUAUAGAUGGAUCCGCGCCGCAUUAGCUAGUUGGUAAGGUAACGGCUUACCAAGGCAACGAUGCGUAGCCGUCCUGAGAGGGUGACCGGCCACACUGGAACUGAGACACGGUCCAGACUCCUACGGGAGGCAGCAGUAGGGAAUCUUCCGCAAUGGGCGAAAGCCUGACGGAGCAACGCCGCGUGAGUGAUGAAGGUCUUCGGAUCGUAAAACUCUGUUAUUAGGGAAGAACAAAUGUGUAAGUAACUAUGCACGUCUUGACGGUACCUAAUCAGAAAGCCACGGCUAACUACGUG
This 497-nucleotide ribosomal RNA is filed under the name uncultured bacterium. Its description in RNAcentral is "partial 16S ribosomal RNA". It matches the Rfam family "Bacterial small subunit ribosomal RNA", at positions 28 to 507 of the family's 1533-position model. The record is from RNAcentral.